Molecule: long non-coding RNA, 788 nt
Organism: Panicum hallii
Lineage: Eukaryota; Viridiplantae; Streptophyta; Magnoliopsida; Poales; Poaceae
Exons: 3
Source: RefSeq, a predicted model, not a curated record
GCCGACAAGCGGCGAUAUGGUCCUGCAGCGACACCACGGCCUCGCCACGAGCACCCCCCACGCACCCACUCUUCGCUCGCCUGCUCCACAAGCCCAAAGCCCGGCCAGCCAUCUUUCUCCCUCUCUCCUUUUCAUUCUUUCUUCCGGUUCCUGUCGAAGAACACCAUGGCUGCCAGCCAUAGAAACCAAAUCCAUGAGCCUCCAGUCAUAGAAACCAAAUCGUCACCAUCUACACCUCCACAGCCUCACUAAUUCCCUUCUCCCCCACUUGUCCCCCUGAGAAGCGACCUCCAUGGCCAGAGAUUGAAGAUCCCGACCAUCAGACCGCCAUGGCCGAACCCUUCCACCCCUCACCGUCGAAGUCCCACCUCCGGCUAUCCUUCUCGUCAUCCAACCACAAAAAUCGAUUUCUGAUCCGAUAGCUACGGACAUCGUGUACGAGCUGAUUGCCGAGCCUCAAGACCAGCAGGCACCAUGUAAAGAGCAGCAGAUCUUAGAACAUUCAGAAGACCCGGCUCAAGGUUCGGAAGAGCCACGGGUUGAACAGCAGGAAGCCCUGCGGUCCCUUCGUCCGCCGUACAGCGGAUCAAGGGAGAGCGGUGUCUCCGAACCGGCGCCGGCGAUCUGAGGACCUGUACGGGUGCCGGCGAAUUAGGUUUCUGGGAAGUGCGCUCGCACGUCCGCUCGCGUCCUUCCUCUUUAUCGACGGUUUCUUCGCUGCAUCCGCGCAGGAUCCACUGUAAGUUAAGCCAGUAUUCCAUGCAUUUCUUUUAUGAUGAUCUCGUGGC